RNAcentral lists this ribosomal RNA (154 nucleotides) under Fusarium sacchari. RNAcentral's name for it is "5.8S ribosomal RNA". It matches the Rfam family "5.8S ribosomal RNA". From Rfam's summary of the family: 5.8S ribosomal RNA (5.8S rRNA) is a component of the large subunit of the eukaryotic ribosome. It is transcribed by RNA polymerase I as part of the 45S precursor that also contains 18S and 28S rRNA. Functionally, it is thought that 5.8S rRNA may be involved in ribosome translocation. Lineage: Eukaryota; Fungi; Ascomycota; Sordariomycetes; Hypocreales; Nectriaceae. The record is from RNAcentral.
UUUCAACAACGGAUCUCUUGGUUCUGGCAUCGAUGAAGAACGCAGCAAAAUGCGAUAAGUAAUGUGAAUUGCAGAAUUCAGUGAAUCAUCGAAUCUUUGAACGCACAUUGCGCCCGCCAGUAUUCUGGCGGGCAUGCCUGUUCGAGCGUCAUUU